CCAGACGGCACGCCACUUCCGGGGCCGGCUCCACGGGUCACUUCCGGGGCGGGUCCCGCCUGCGCAGGGCUCCCCUGUGCGCAUGUGCGGCGCGGGAGGGGUUGGGAGGGGAAAAAACGGAGCUGCUCGCGUCUGCGCAGAGGUGAGCGUGGGCUCCGGCGUGUGGAGCGGGGGCGCCUCGGGACCCGGGGACCCGGGGAUGCAGGGAUCCCGGGCCCGGCAGCCGUCUCCCGCCGGGGCUUCCGGUUCCCCAUCACCUCACGGAAACUCAGUCUCCAGGACGGUUCUCGAAGAGCCAGUUUAUUAAUUACAACAAAGGCAUAAACAACUUAGACGCCAAAGUCCGGCUGAGGAGAGAAACGGACGGGUGAGGAUGGUUGUCCGGGACCGGGCUGUGCUCACGGCCGAGACGGCGUGACCUGAGGAGGGGAGAAGGUCCUAGAACAGGACUUGUACUCGACCCGCCCCUUCUUUCCUCUGAGCCGUAGUGCUUCAUCUGCAAAACAGCAACAAGUAAUCGCCACCAUAUUCCCAGUGUGGACUGGGAAUUCAUUCCAGUAAAAACACGUCGAAGAUGUCUUAUACACUGUAAAGUAUUCAAUUCUGGAUAAAGAACUACUUGCAAUUUAAGACUUAAUAAAACAUCACCUUCAGUAAACCUGAUAUAUGAAGAACUGGAUAUAUUUUUAUUUUCUUGGUUGUCUUGGAAAUAUGUCAGCAUUUAUCCAAAGAUGUUUUUAAAGCGGUCAUAAUAAAUAUGGAUAUUGUUAUCCAGGUAAGAGUUGAUAAAAUGUCCUUAUGACUUAUUAGUGAAAUGUAGAAUUUUUCCUUUGACCUGACUUUUCCACAUGAGCUGUCUUUAAUGUCUGCACAGAAUUUAAAUGGCAUUUAAUGUCCUAGGAAUGUAAAAAUGACUCAAAUUUCUCUCCAUAAGAGCUUUCCUUCUCAUUAGGAAGAACACAGUAGAAUCAGUGGUGUUCUUUUUAAAAAUAAGAUGUGGGGCUUCCCUGGUGGCGCAGUGAUUGAGAGUCUGCCUGCCGAUGCAGGGGACACGGGUUCGUGCCCCGGUCCAGGAAGAUCCCACAUGCUUGCGUACCGCAAAAAAAUAAAUAAAUAAAAAUAAAAAAAUUAAAAAAAUAAAAAUAA
This is a long non-coding RNA of Orcinus orca (killer whale), 1146 nucleotides long. RefSeq lists it as uncharacterized. NCBI's taxonomy places the organism in Eukaryota, Metazoa, Chordata, Mammalia, Artiodactyla, Delphinidae. The record is from RefSeq and is a predicted model, not a curated record. The transcript is spliced from 2 exons.